RNAcentral lists this ribosomal RNA (194 nucleotides) under uncultured bacterium. RNAcentral's name for it is "partial 16S ribosomal RNA". It matches the Rfam family "Bacterial small subunit ribosomal RNA", at positions 338 to 524 of the family's 1533-position model. The record is from RNAcentral.
CCUACGGGAGGCAGCAGUGGGGAAUAUUGGACAAUGGGCGCAAGCCUGAUCCAGCAAUGCCGCGUGUGUGAAGAAGGCCUUCGGGUUGUAAAGCACUUUUGUUGGGGAAGAAACCGGCCGGGUUAAUACCCUGGUUGAAUGACGGUACCCAAAGAAUAAGCACCGGCUAACUUCGUGCCAGCAGCCGCGGUAAU